GUUGGGGCCUGAGCAGCUGCUGGGUAUGUCAGCAGCCUGGGCUCUGGCGGGCAGGACGGCAGCCAGAGAGGCCGGUGGCUGGCUGGGGAGCCCAGAGGAGGCUCCGAUUCCCUUCCUGAAUAUUCAUGGAUCAGCAGAUGUCUGGCUUCGCCACCUCUGAGGAGCCAAGCACCCAGCAAGGUAGAACAGGGAAACCAACAGGGAUGUAGAUGAGGAGGGAACCAGCCCACCCUGGCCCAGAAGCCUGGCCACACCAACUGCCACUACGCCGGUUGCCUCCAUCCUCUCUUCUGGAUUACUACAACAGCCUCCCAAGAAGCUGGAGCUUCCUGCUUCCAGUCCCGCCCCACUGACCGAUUCUCCACACUGGCUGCAGGAGCUGAUGCAAAGCUGAUUUUAAAACUUGCCAAGGGCUCAGGCAGGCUCUCAGGCCAGAAACCUUGGUGGGACUUAUAAAGUCCUUCAGGAGCUGGGCCCAGCCCCCAUCUUCA
Long non-coding RNA from Herpailurus yagouaroundi (jaguarundi), 491 nucleotides. RefSeq lists it as uncharacterized. The transcript has 2 exons. Lineage: Eukaryota; Metazoa; Chordata; Mammalia; Carnivora; Felidae. The record is from RefSeq and is a predicted model, not a curated record.